UUUUAUUUGAGAGUUUGAUCCUGGCUCAGGAUGAACGCUGGCGGCGUGCCUAACACAUGCAAGUUGAGCGAUUUACUUCGGUAAAGAGCGGCGGACGGGUGAGUAACGCGUGGGUAACCUACCCUGUACACACGGAUAACAUACCGAAAGGUAUGCUAAUACGGGAUAAUAUAUUUGAGAGGCAUCUCUUAAAUAUCAAAGGUGAGCCAGUACAGGAUGGACCCGCGUCUGAUUAGCUAGUUGGUAAGGUAACGGCUUACCAAGGCGACGAUCAGUAGCCGACCUGAGAGGGUGAUCGGCCACAUUGGAACUGA
RNAcentral lists this ribosomal RNA (314 nucleotides) under Clostridioides difficile. Its description in RNAcentral is "bacterial SSU rRNA". It matches the Rfam family "Bacterial small subunit ribosomal RNA", at positions 1 to 322 of the family's 1533-position model. Lineage: Bacteria; Bacillati; Bacillota; Clostridia; Peptostreptococcales; Peptostreptococcaceae. The record is from RNAcentral.